AUGGCGGCGGCGGCGAAGAUAGCGCCGUCCAUGCUCUCGUCGGACUUCGCCAACCUCGCCUCGGAGGCCGAGCGCAUGGUCCGCCUCGGCGCCGACUGGCUCCACAUGGACGUCAUGGAUGGGCACUUCGUUCCUAAUUUAACUAUUGGAGCUCCAGUGAUUGAGAGCUUGAGGAAGCACACCAAGGCAUAUUUGGACUGCCAUCUCAUGGUCACAAAUCCUUCUGAUUAUGUAGAGGCAUUUGGGAAAGCUGGUGCCUCAGGAUUCACAUUCCAUAUAGAAGUAGCCAGGGAUAACUGGAAAGAGCUCAUCCAAAACAUUAAAGCAAAGGGCAUGCGGCCUGGUGUAUCAUUGAAGCCUGGUACUCCUGUGGAAGAUGUUUUUCCCCUGGUGGAAGCAGAAACCCCUGUAGAGUUGGUUCUGGUGAUGACAGUCGAGCCUGGCUUUGGUGGCCAGAAGUUCAUGCCGGAGAUGAUGGAUAAGGUGCGUACGCUGAGGAAGAAGUACCAGUCCCUCGACAUUGAGGUCGACGGCGGCCUGGGUCCUUCCACCAUCGACGCCGCCGCGUCCGCCGGCGCCAACUGCAUCGUCGCGGGGAGCUCCGUGUUCGGCGCGCCCGACCCCGGACAGGUCAUCUCGGCGCUGCGGAAGAGCGUGGAGGCGUCGCAGAUCAAGAGCUGA
Molecule: ribosomal RNA, 681 nt
Filed under: Triticum aestivum (bread wheat)
Lineage: Eukaryota; Viridiplantae; Streptophyta; Magnoliopsida; Poales; Poaceae
Description: partial small subunit ribosomal RNA
Source: RNAcentral